This 240-nucleotide unclassified non-coding RNA is filed under the name soil metagenome. RNAcentral describes it as "partial contains 5.8S ribosomal RNA, internal transcribed spacer 2, and large subunit ribosomal RNA". The record is from RNAcentral.
AACGCACGAGACCUGCGGACCUGCGGAAGGAUCAUUACAGAGUUGCAAAACUCCCAAACCAUUGUGAACGUUACCUUCUCGUUGCUUCGGCGGGCGGCCCGGGUCCUUCCCGGCGCCCCCCGGCCCCUCGCGGGCGCCCGCCGGAGGUAAACCAAACUCUUGAAUUGUAUGGCCUCUCUGAGUCUUCUGUACUGAAUAAGUCAAAACUUUUAACAACGGAUCUCUAGAUCGGAAGAGCAC